CGGCAGAUCUGCAACGUGGUGGCCUGCGAGGGGGCGGAGCGCACAGAGCGGCACGAGACCCUGGGGCAGUGGCGGAACCGCCUCGGCAACGCCGGGUUCGAGACCGUCCACCUGGGCUCCAAUGCCUACAAGCAGGCGAGCACGCUGCUGGCGCUCUUCGCAGGCGGCGACGGGUACAAGGUGGAGGAGAAGGAGGGCUGCCUGACGCUGGGGUGGCACACGCGCCCGCUGAUCGCCACCUCCGCAUGGCGCCUGGCCGCGCCGUGACCGCGAGUUUUGAACGCUGUAAGUACACAUCGUGAGCAUGGAGGACGACACAACCCCGGCGGCCGCCCCGGCUCUCCGGCGCACGCACGCACGCACGCUCUUGAAGAAGAAGAAGAAGCUAAAUGUCAUGUCAGUGAACGCUGAAUUGCAGCGGCCGGCCACGAUCGACCGUCCGGCGUGAAGAGACGGACGACGACGAACUCCGAGCCGACCAUCCCACCGGCAUGUAGUAAUGUAAUCCCUUCUUCGUCCCCAGUUCUCCACCGCCUCCAUGAUCACCCGUAAAACUCCCAAGCCCUACUACUACUACUACUACUACUACUACUACUAUCAUGUUUAAAUGUCUAUUAUUGCAAUGUGUAAUUCCUCCAAUCGCUCAUAUCAAAAUAAGCGCGGGCCGGACUUUGUUAGCUGCUCCAAUGAGAAUGAAAAUGAAUUUUGUACGCAACGCACGUCCGAAACUGAGCCGAGCUCUGUUCUGUUCUUGAUGUUCAUG
This 763-nucleotide long non-coding RNA is filed under the name Triticum aestivum (bread wheat). Its description in RNAcentral is "long non-coding RNA (TAES_LNC002736)". The record is from RNAcentral. Lineage: Eukaryota; Viridiplantae; Streptophyta; Magnoliopsida; Poales; Poaceae.